RNAcentral lists this ribosomal RNA (342 nucleotides) under uncultured bacterium. RNAcentral describes it as "bacterial SSU rRNA". It matches the Rfam family "Bacterial small subunit ribosomal RNA", at positions 8 to 354 of the family's 1533-position model. The record is from RNAcentral.
AGAGUUUGAUCAUGGCUCAGAUUGAACGCUGGCGGUAUGCUUUACACAUGCAAGUCGAACGGAUCAAGAAGCUUGCUUCUUGGUUAGUGGCGAACGGGUGAGUAAUGUAUCGGAACAUGUCCGGGAGUGGGGGAUAACGUAGCGAAAGUUACGCUAAUACCGCAUAUGCCCUGAGGGGGAAAGGAGGGGAUCGCAAGACCUUUCGCUUUCGGAGUGGCCGAUAUCGGAUUAGCUAGAUGGUGAGGUAAAGGCUCACCAUGGCGACGAUCCGUAGCUGGUCUGAGAGGACGACCAGCCACACUGGAACUGAGACACGGUCCAGACUCCUACGGGACGCAGCAG